UUUCCGUAGGUGAACCUGCGGAAGGAUCAUUACUGAGUUGUCAUGGGGUUAGAUGCUGGCAGCCAGUUUUUGGAUGCAUGUGCUUGCCCUAACAAUCAUCUUCUUCCAAACACCUGUGCACAUUUUUGAGGGAGUCUUGAGUUGGUUGCCGCUCUUGGGUGAUUUUCUCACAUUCCCUUAAAUCAUUAUACGCUAUUGACCAUGUUGAACCUGCUCUGUGCCGCAAGGCCAUUAAUAUAAUACAACUUUUAACAACGGAUCUCUUGGCUCUC
RNAcentral lists this unclassified non-coding RNA (272 nucleotides) under plant metagenome. RNAcentral describes it as "partial contains small subunit ribosomal RNA, internal transcribed spacer 1, and 5.8S ribosomal RNA". The record is from RNAcentral.